GCAUGCAGGUGAGAAGGGAAGAUACGUGUAAUCUGCACGUCUGCCACCAUUCCUUGUUACUCCUUUUUCGUAUCCCAUGAGCACAGCACUCCAGCGGACCUACCCAAAAUAUAUAGGAGUUCAGUGAAACUCAAACAGCACACUUCUGGUCAGCCUAUACAGUUUCUGUCCUGGUGAGGAGCAUGGUUACCAACAGGCAAGAUCUUCUGGCCUUGAAGUUUCACUUGAGUUAAAAGAGCUCAUCUCAGGACUUUCUGAAUUUUCAGCCCAUAUGACAUGGAAGAAGAGUUAGAAGGGGAAUCUGACUGCUUGGAUCAGGGACUGUCUGGCUGGUGGAACUUGAAUAGAUGUACAGUGCACCACUUUGAGGAUCAAGUCUGACCCUGCCUUUAAAUUUGGAUUCGAAGUACUUAGAUUUUCUGGAAUCCCAUUCUACAAUCUUCUGGUCGAAAGUAUAAAACCAGCACUGGCUGGCUUGAGAAAUAAAGGGACAGAGUACAAAAGAGAGAAAUUUUAAAGCUGGGCAUCUGGGAGGAGACAUCACAUGUCG
Molecule: non-coding RNA, 550 nt
Filed under: Pongo abelii (Sumatran orangutan)
Lineage: Eukaryota; Metazoa; Chordata; Mammalia; Primates; Hominidae
Source: RNAcentral